GCAUAUCAAUAAGCGGAGGAAAAGAAACCAACAGGGAUUGCCCCAGUAACGGCGAGUGAAGCGGCAAGAGCUCAAAUUUGAAAUCUGGCCUCCUCCGGGGGUCCGAGUUGUAAUUUGUAGAGGAUGCUUCGGGUGCGGCCGCCGUCUAAGUUCCUUGGAACAGGACGUCAGAGAGGGUGAGAAUCCCGUCUUGGGCGGCCGGCGCGCGCCCGUGUGAAGCUCCUUCGACGAGUCGAGUUGUUUGGGAAUGCAGCUCUAAGCGGGUGGUAAAUUUCAUCUAAAGCUAAAUACUGGCCGGAGACCGAUAGCGCACAAGUAGAGUGAUCGAAAGGUUAAAAGCACCUUGAAAAGGGAGUUAAACAGCACGUGAAAUUGUUGAAAGGGAAGCGCUUGCGGCCAGACUCGGGGGGCGGGGUUCAGCGGGCGCUCGUCGCCCGUGCACUCCCCGCGUUCCCGGGCCAGCAUCAGUUUCGACGGCCGGUCAAAGGCCCCCGGAAUGUGUCGUCUCUAGGGACGUCUUAUAGCCGGGGGUGCAAUGCGGCCCGUCGGGACUGAGGAACGCGCUCCGGCUCGGAUGCUGGCGUAAUGGUCGUAAGCGGCCCGUCUUGAAACACGGACC
This 619-nucleotide ribosomal RNA is filed under the name Epidermophyton floccosum. RNAcentral's name for it is "eukaryotic LSU rRNA". It matches the Rfam family "Eukaryotic large subunit ribosomal RNA", at positions 38 to 667 of the family's 3401-position model. Lineage: Eukaryota; Fungi; Ascomycota; Eurotiomycetes; Onygenales; Arthrodermataceae. The record is from RNAcentral.